Molecule: ribosomal RNA, 395 nt
Filed under: uncultured bacterium
Lineage: Bacteria
Description: bacterial SSU rRNA
Rfam family: Bacterial small subunit ribosomal RNA
Source: RNAcentral
AACGAACGCUGGCGGCAGGCCUAACACAUGCAAGUCGAACGCCGUAGCAAUACGGAGUGGCAGACGGGUGAGUAACACGUGGGAACGUACCCUUCGGUUCGGAAUAACUCAGGGAAACUUGAGCUAAAACCGGAUACGUCCGAGAGGAGAAAGAUUUAUCGCCGAGGGAUCGGCCCGCGUCUGAUUAGCUUGUUGGUGAGGUAACGGCUCACCAAGGCGACGAUCAGUAGCUGGUCUGAGAGGAUGAUCAGCCACAUUGGGACUGAGACACGGCCCAAACUCCUACGGGAGGCAGCAGUGGGGAAUCUUGCGCAAUGGGCGAAAGCCUGACGCAGCCAUGCCGCGUGAAUGAUGAAGGUCUUAGGAUUGUAAAAUUCUUUCAGUGGGGACGAUAA